UGGGGUUGCUAGGUAACGGGCAAAACUCUGCUGGGGUUGCUAGGUAACGGGCGGAACUCUGCUGGGGUUGCUAGCUAACGGGCGGAACUCUGCUGGGGUUGCAAUGUAAGAGGUGGAAGUCUGCUGGGGUUGCUAGGUAACGGGCGGAACUCUGAUGGGGUUGCUAGCUAACGGGCAGUGCCCGCUGAUUUGUUACAUUGCAUUCUGGAUGUUCUUGAAACGGCGAAUUUUCAAGACAGCAAAAAAUAUUAACUUAUAGCCAAAAAAAACGUCUGGAUGGUGUUUAUUUUAGGAGCAGUACAGACUUAAA
Molecule: long non-coding RNA, 310 nt
Organism: Poecilia latipinna (sailfin molly)
Lineage: Eukaryota; Metazoa; Chordata; Actinopteri; Cyprinodontiformes; Poeciliidae
Exons: 2
Source: RefSeq, a predicted model, not a curated record